RNAcentral lists this microRNA precursor (74 nucleotides) under Bombyx mori (domestic silkworm). RNAcentral's name for it is "mir-2807 microRNA precursor family". It matches the Rfam family "mir-2807 microRNA precursor family". Lineage: Eukaryota; Metazoa; Arthropoda; Insecta; Lepidoptera; Bombycidae. The record is from Rfam by way of RNAcentral.
UUAACUGAAAUUGGUAUAGAAUUAGAACGUUUGCCGCUAGGGGCGCUGUUCCAGCUGCAUACAAAUUUGAGUUA